AUUGAACGCUGGCGGCAUGCUUUACACAUGCAAGUCGAACGGCAGCGCGGGCUUCGGCCUGGCGGCGAGUGGCGAACGGGUGAGUAAUACAUCGGAACGUGCCCAGUAGUGGGGGAUAGCUCGGCGAAAGCCGGAUUAAUACCGCAUACGACCUGAGGGUGAAAGCGGGGGAUCUUCGGACCUCGCGCUAUAGGAGCGGCCGAUGGCAGAUUAGCUAGUUGGUGGGGUAAAGGCCUACCAAGGCGACGAUCUGUAGCUGGUCUGAGAGGACGAGCAGCCACACUGGGACUGAGACACGGCCCAGACUCCUACGGGAGGCAGCAGUGGGGAAUUUGGGACAAUGGGCGAAAGCCUGAUCCAGCAAUGCCGCGUGUGUGAUGAAGGCCUUCGGGUUGUAAAGCACUUUUGGCGGGAACGAAAAUGACUGUGCCAAUACCACGGUUCGAUGACGGUACCCGCAGAAUAAGCACCGGCUAACUACGUG
RNAcentral lists this ribosomal RNA (484 nucleotides) under uncultured bacterium. RNAcentral's name for it is "partial 16S ribosomal RNA". It matches the Rfam family "Bacterial small subunit ribosomal RNA", at positions 29 to 507 of the family's 1533-position model. The record is from RNAcentral.